RNAcentral lists this ribosomal RNA (492 nucleotides) under uncultured bacterium. Its description in RNAcentral is "partial 16S ribosomal RNA". It matches the Rfam family "Bacterial small subunit ribosomal RNA", at positions 29 to 507 of the family's 1533-position model. The record is from RNAcentral.
AGUGAACGCUGGCGGUAGGCCUAACACAUGCAAGUCGAACGGCAGCACAGUAAGAGCUUGCUCUUACGGGUGGCGAGUGGCGGACGGGUGAUGUAUACAUCGGAAUCUACUUUUUCGUGGGGGAUAACGUAGGGAAACUUACGCUAAUACCGCAUACGACCUACGGGUGAAAGCAGUGGAUCUUCGGACCUUGCGCGUUUUAAUGAGCCGAUGUCGGAUUAGCUAGUUGGCGGGGUAAAGGCCCACCAAGGCGACGAUCCGUAGCUGGUCUGAGAGGAUGAUCAGCAACACUGGAACUGAGACACGGACAAGACUACUACGGGAGGAAGCAGUGGGGAAUAUUGGACAAUGGGCGAAAGCAUGAUACAGCCAUACCGCGUGGGUGAAGAAGGCCUUCGGGUUGUAAAGACCUUUUGUUGGGAAAGAAAAGAAGCAGGUUAAUAAACCGCUGUUCUGACGGUACCCAAAGAAUAAGCACCGGCUAACUUCGUG